UUACUGGCUGUCUGCUCCAGGACUAUAGAGGAACAGAGAGGUUACUGGCUGUCUGCUCCAGGACUAUAGAGGAACAGAGAGGUUACUGGCUGUCUGCUCCAGGACUAUAGAGGAACAGAGAGGUUACUGGCUGUCUGCUCCAGGACUAUAGAGGAACAGAGAGGUUACUGGCUGUCUGCUCCAGGACUAUAGAGGAACAGAGAGGUUACUGGCUGUCUGCUCCAGGG
Non-coding RNA from Salmo salar (Atlantic salmon), 227 nucleotides. Lineage: Eukaryota; Metazoa; Chordata; Actinopteri; Salmoniformes; Salmonidae. The record is from RefSeq and is a predicted model, not a curated record.